RNAcentral lists this ribosomal RNA (429 nucleotides) under uncultured bacterium. Its description in RNAcentral is "bacterial SSU rRNA". It matches the Rfam family "Bacterial small subunit ribosomal RNA", at positions 29 to 506 of the family's 1533-position model. The record is from RNAcentral.
ACGAACGCUGGCGGCAGGCUUAACACAUGCAAGUCGAACGCCCCGCAAGGGGAGUGGCAGACGGGUGAGUAACACGUGGGAACAUGCCCAAAGGUACGGAAUAUUCUCGGGAAACUGGGAGCAAUACCGUAUGUGCCCGAAAGGGGAAAGAUUUAUCGCCUUUGGAUUGGCCCGCGUCGGAUUAGCUAGUUGGUGGGGUAAAAGCCUACCAAGGCGACGAUCCGUAGCUGGUCUGAGAGGACGACCAGCCACACUGGGACUGAGACACGGCCCAGACUCCUACGGGAGGCAGCAGUGGGGAAUCUUGGACAAUGGGCGAAAGCCUGAUCCAGCCAUGCCGCGUGGAUGAUGAAGGCCCUAGGGUUGUAAAAUCCUUUCGUUGGGGACGAUAAUGACGGUACCCAAAGAAGAAGCUCCGGCUAACUUCGU